UUCUAUCAUUCUAAUCUGGGAAAGGCAGACAACAUGUGUGCGGAGUGCCCUAAUCCUUUCAACAUCUAUUUCCUCUCGUUUAAGUCGUCUCUGCCUCUCACAUUGUAUCGAUCGGAAGCCGACGAACUAUCGAAGAUUAUCGUGCGCCGGCUAGUGAAGGAUAAGCUAUCACAGCAGACACAGCUCUCUAAGGAUUCCAAAGUCACCGUUCUCUGGGAGUCUCUUUAAGGCUUCUGCGAAAACGCACGAAUUUUUAUCCAUUUCAUCUCCGUUACGUAAGCAAACUUAUAAUCAUUUCCAUUACAUAUUUUUUGAUUUUUGAUGAGUAAUUAUUUUGUUUUUAAUCAUUUCCAUUACAUAUUUUUUGAUUUUUGAUGAGUAAUUAUUUUGUUUUUGUUUUUUUAAUAAAUUUUAGUAGGAUUAACUAGAGCUAUAGAAUGCUUGGAAUUAAUUAAUUUUUGGAUUUAGUUUCUGGAAGUUAUUUUUUCUCUGCAAUAGAUUUCCUAUUGAAGAUGGAGAAUCUACACGUUUGAUAUAUAGUUCUAAUUCAUUUCUUAAUCAAAUGCUUGAUCUGCUAGCUCAAUGCGGCUACAGACACUUGUGGGCUGGCUAUUCUGAGAUUGCAUAGGCCACUAACAAUUGGUGAAAACUGAUAAAAAUGUUAUGUAAAUAGAUCAAUAUUGAUUCUCGUAACUUUUAAAACUUUCUGUCUCUUCAAUUGCUUAUUAUGCUGGUGGUUGAUCUGGUGCUAAUGUUCAAAUGGUUGUAGGAGCUCUCAGAGUGUCCUUAGGUGCCUUGUGGAAUAUAUGACAAUCUGAUCAAUGUCAAGAAAUUUUACUGCUUAGUUAUUGUUCAAUUAUAGUGACAUUUGCAUGAAACUGCAGCUGAUCCACAUAAUUUAUCAUGUACAACUUUGAAUCUUUUCAAAGUUGGAAAGCUAUCUUAUUGGGGCGAGAGAGGAUGGUUUUAAGUAGUAAAACAUUCGUAUUCUUUAAAUUUUGAUUGCCAGAUUAGAUUUCUUCUUUGUCGCGCAUUAAUCCUCAUGGACCUUGUCAUGGAAAGUUCUCUUUCACCUAUUUAGUGUUACCUAAUAAGUAUUCUUUAUUGUUUGACAUUCAAGGAGAUUAACAGUGAGAUGCUAGCAAGAAAGGACAAGUUGAGCGGUCUUACGACCACUCAUGACAUUUCUAAUAAAUUUAGCAUAUUACUUAAAGCAUAGCUAGAUAAAGAAUUCAUUAAUAUUCCUAUAUAAUUGGUGCAAGUGAAAAGCAACUAAGUGAGUUGAAGCUGAAUAGAGACAAAGCCUAAUAUUACUCUUUUAUUCUCCUAACAUAUGCUAUUUCUUUAAUUUUACAUUUAUUUCCAUUGGGUAUACGUUCCAAAAUAUCUACAAUUCUCAUCCAUGUUUUCUCUAUCAAAAUUUACCCAUCAUAAACAAAUAAAUUUAUACUUUUGGCUAUUAUCCCUGUAUUUUUGUCCAUGAAUUGAAUAGCUGCACAUUCAUAUCCCAUUUUCAAGCUCUUUGAUUAGGACAUUAUUACUUAGGGUUCUCAACUUGGAGAAUGAGCAGCAAGGGGCAUGGUCUGUGAAGUGAUAGUUUCUUGAUUUUCUUUCUAGUUGACAAGUUUUGUAUGUCGUAUUUUUACUUAUUAUUUACUGAACAAGAUUAUUAAGAAGUUAAGAACUUGUAAGAACAUGACAGAAACUGGAAAAUUAAUGUCUUUUGUUAUUUGCACAGAUGUCUGGCCCAAGUAGUGCUGGAAGUAUUGGAUUAGGACCAAUAUGCGAGGAAGAUAGCACGACCGAUGUACCGGAGAGCAAUGUCCCGCAAGAAGAUCCAGUUGAACUGUUACCAAAUGCGGAUGAAAGGACAAUAAAUUAAGUGACGAGGAGCAUGAUAUUGGAGAAUAUCAUUUGGAAAGAGGAAAUUGACUUCAACUGUGUGGGAGCACUACAAAAGACAGAAAAUUGGUGAGAAAUGGAAGAUUAUAUGCAAUCAUUGCAACAAACAGUUAGGGGGUGAAACAAAAAAUGGUACAAAGCAUUUGCAUGAUCAUUUGAAGAGAUGUGUAUUCUAUUAUAAGGAUAAUACUCACCAAGCAACAUUAAAUUUCAAAAAGGAUGCCAUGAGUGUCAAGGUCACAAUGGGUACUUACUCUUUCGAUCCAAAUAAGUGUAGAUAUAGUCUUUCGAAAAUGGUGAUUUUGCAUGAGUAUUCUUUGUCUAUGUUUGAUCACAUUGGAUUUCGAGAGUUCUUGCAUGACCUACAACCAUUGUUUAAGGUUCCUUCCCGCAACACUUUAAAAAGCGACAUUUUGAAAAUCUAUGAAUACGAGAGAGUCAAAAAUAUGAUUGCACUUGAGAAGAUUGAGAGUCAAAUUUCGAUCACUACCGACAUGUGGACCUCUUCUAACCAAAAGAAAGGAUUCGUGGUUAUCACUGCUCAUUUCAUAGAUGAUGCAUGGAAACUACAUAGUCGAAUCAUGAAGUAUAGUAAAACAUUACAUUCACUUGUCCUCAUAAUCAUGAUAUUCUUUUAGUUGAUUUAAUUAGUUCUUGAAUGAACUCAGGUUUAUAUAUGUGCCGUGCACACACAUUGUUGAAGUGCUUUCAGAAACUCUAUUGAGCACCUUGAUGGACUGGAAUAUUAAUCGUAAAUUACUAACUUUGACCGUAGAUAAUUGCACCACAAAUGAUGCAAUGAUCAGUAUUGUGUUAAGUCAACUUUUUACUCGUUCUCUUGUACUGAAUGGUGAAUUUUUUCAUAUGAGGUGUUGUGCAUAUAUAUUAAAUCUUAUUGUGAAGGAUGAGUUGGACAUUAUUAGUAGUAGUGUUGAGAAAAUUUGUGAUAGUGUUGUUUAUUGGACAGCCACACCAAAGAGAUCUGAAAAAUUUGAGCUCUUUGCACGUCAAUUGAAAAUUGAUUCUAAGAAAAAAUUGGUGCUUGAUUGUAAAACAAGGUGGAAUUCGACGUAUUUGAUGCUUAGUACUGCUUUGAUUUAUAAGGAUUUUUUUUUGCGUUUGAAGCAGAGGAAGUCACGAUAUAAAUGUUUCCCUAGUGAUGGUGAUUG
Molecule: long non-coding RNA, 3071 nt
Filed under: Olea europaea (common olive)
Lineage: Eukaryota; Viridiplantae; Streptophyta; Magnoliopsida; Lamiales; Oleaceae
Description: long non-coding RNA (OEUR_LNC003660)
Source: RNAcentral